UUGAUAGCUCUAGAGAUGGUAGUCCUUGGCCAAAAAAAAGUAUAGUGUGGGGAGGGCAAGAGCAAGGUACCUAUAGCUGUGUUGUCAAGAUACCUCAAUCCUGUCUUAAAGGUCCCUUCUAGGAGGCUAUAGGGUAGUUCAGUCUCCAUCCCCAUUUGGUCCUUAGACCUG
Molecule: small RNA, 171 nt
Filed under: Chrysemys picta bellii (western painted turtle)
Lineage: Eukaryota; Metazoa; Chordata; Testudines; Emydidae
Description: TUC338 (ENSCPBG00000013206.1)
Source: RNAcentral